This is a long non-coding RNA of Felis catus (domestic cat), 2082 nucleotides long. RefSeq lists it as uncharacterized. NCBI's taxonomy places the organism in Eukaryota, Metazoa, Chordata, Mammalia, Carnivora, Felidae. The record is from RefSeq and is a predicted model, not a curated record. The transcript has 2 exons.
UGCGGGGUGGAGAUCAGCCCCAGCGCUGAAUGCGUGAGGAAGUCUGUGUGAGGGGUGUCUUAAUGUCCCACACGUCCAAAGGAUUUCGUUUCAGUUGACAGGCAGAAUGUGAAAAUGGGUGCAUGUAGCAAGCUGGGUCACUCUUGUGAAACACAAACCCUUUGCCACUUCCCAGCUCCGACUGGGCAAAGCUCAGAAUUUUUCAAAGCUAUCUAGGAACCUUAAUACCUGGCCCCUCUGGUCACUUUUCAGCCUCUAGUCUGGCGGUUUUCUCCUGGACACACCCCGCAGUCUAGUCUCCCAGAGAGGGGUCUUGCUUUGUCUUCUCUCUAGCACUCAGAGCAGCGCCGGAUCCACCCUAGCUACUUAAUACUUACCUAAUAAGUAUUCAUGAAUUUUCAUGAUAUUGUCCAAAAGCUUUAGCAAACCCUCAAAGGUUGCGUAAGACCCCAUAGAGAUUAGAGUCAGCCACAAAUAUGGAGACUCAAACAAAUAUUUGAAUAAUAACUGGAGCACCUGGUUGGCUCAGUGGGUGGAGCCUGUAACUCCAUCGCAGGGGUGUGAGUGCCGAGAGUCCAGCCCCAGUAGGGGUUCCCGAAGGAUGGCGUCUGCGAAAAUAACAAAUGGACACAGACAACAGUGUGUCCGACUGGCCGCUUUAUUGUGUGCAUUGCUGGGUCCUGUGGUUGUUGCCUGCUCCUACAUACCUGACACAGCAGCCUCUCUGACCGCUUGGGAACCAUCACCCUCCGCUCAAGCACAGCUCCUUCUCCCACCCAAGAGGACUAGCAGGAUGACACAGCUCCAAGCCCAGGCUUUAGGAAUCAGACAAACUUUUGCUCCUAGCUUUGGAGGUGGGUAUUGCCCAGGAAGCUUUGAUGACAGCGCCCUACGGGGCAGAUCUAAUACCUACCAAUCCUUGGGUGACCACUUAACCCUUUCAAACCCCAUUUCUUGUUCUAUAAAAUGACCAGUUGCCUCUUCUCAUAGGGGUGAUGAUAAAAAUGCAGAUUAAAAAAAUUACUUGUCAGUUUCUGGCAUGUAAGUACUCAACAGGUAUCAAAAAAACGUUCAGGCACUUUUUGCUAUCUUCAUAGUACAAUUCUCUUCAGGGUGAUGGUAAAGUAGAGACAUCAAAACUUUACUAACCUUCAGCUUUAUCCAAGUUGACUGCACUUACAAUUAACCUUCUUUGGCAGUACUCGAGUUUUUGCCAAAUGGCGGAUUCUCCAUUACUGGAGGUUGUCUAAAAAACGCUUCAGUACUCCCACUUAUCCCACUUAAAGAGAAGGAAUACACUUUUAACAGGAAGUAAACACAGGCAGCUUUUCACCUUUACACCCAAGACCUUACACAUUUAGUGUAAGCUACGAUCUUUUCUCUUUCAGUGGGAACUAUCCAAAUACAAAUUUAUAUUUGAAAUAACCUCAUCAAGGGAAACGGUCUGUCAUCAGAACUGGAACUUCGAGAACUUAGGACUAACAUUUACUGAGAAGGCACCAUGUACUUGGCACCACUGUAAGCACUUUACGUGUAUUAGCUCGUUUAAAAAAAAUUUUUUUUUAAUGUUUAUUUAUUUUUGAGACAUUGUGAGAGACAGAGUGCAAGCAGUGGAGAGGCAGAGGGAGACACAGAAUCUGAAGCGGGCUCCAGGCUCGGAGCUGUCAGCCCAGAGCCCGACGCAGGGCUCGAACUCACGAACCGUGAGAUCAUGACCUGAGCCGAAGUUGGACGCUUAACCGACUGAGCCACCCAGGUGCCCCUAGCUCAUUUAACUUACAGGCAAAAAUUGAGCCACCGAAAGAGAAUGCAGUUUUCCCAAGUCUUGAAGCAGGUAGUUAAGUGGUAAAGCCAGGAUUCAAACCCAUUAGCUCCAGAGGCCAGGCCAUGCUCUGAACUGGAUUAAGACUUAUCACCUCUCUUAUCAUAGUCAUACCAGCAAAUACAGCAUCCAAUCCCCAAAAUGAAAAAUACUGACUUUGCAAAUCCCAAGUUCUCUCUGCCUAACACAGAUGCAUCAGAAACUUGAAAAUUGGUAAUGACAUAUAACCGUUCUAUAUUAAAUUUAGUUAUAAAAUUCUA